Triticum aestivum (bread wheat) is the source of this 133-nucleotide non-coding RNA. The record is from Rfam. NCBI's taxonomy places the organism in Eukaryota, Viridiplantae, Streptophyta, Magnoliopsida, Poales, Poaceae.
UCUAUACUCCCUCCGUCCGAAAAUACUUGUAUCAAAAUAGAUAAAAAAGUAUGUAUUUAAAACUAAAAUACAUCUAGAUACAUCUUUUUUAUCUAUUUUGAUGACAAGUAUUUCCAGAUGAAGGGAGUACGUG